GAUGAACGCUGGCGGCAUGCCUAAUACAUGCAAGUCGAACGAACACACGAGGAGCUUUCUCCCCUGACGUUAGCGGCGGACGGGUGAGUCACACAUGGAUAACCUACCUAUCAGACUGGGGUGACUUCGGGAAACCGGAUCUAAUACCCGAUAAUAUAUUGAACCGCAUGGUUCAAUAGUUAAAUACGGUUUUUGUUGCAGUUCAAGCUGGAUACGCGCCACAUUAGUUAGUGGGCUAGGUAACGGCUUACCCAGGCUGCGAUGCGUAGCCGCCCUGAGAGGGUGGUCGGCCACACUGGAAGUGAGACACGGUCCAGACUCCGGCGGGGGGACGCAGUAGGGAAUCUUCCGCAAUGGGGGAAAGCCUGAUGGAGCAAAGCGGCGUAAGUGAUGAAGGUCUUCGGAUGGUAAAGCUCUGUUAUUAGGAAAGAACAAAAGCGCAAGUACCUGGGAUGGUAUUGACGGUACCGAAUGAAAAAGCACCGGCUAACUACGUG
RNAcentral lists this ribosomal RNA (497 nucleotides) under uncultured bacterium. Its description in RNAcentral is "partial 16S ribosomal RNA". It matches the Rfam family "Bacterial small subunit ribosomal RNA", at positions 28 to 507 of the family's 1533-position model. The record is from RNAcentral.